RNAcentral lists this long non-coding RNA (1603 nucleotides) under Anser brachyrhynchus (Pink-footed goose). RNAcentral describes it as "lncRNA (ENSABRG00000013250.1)". The record is from RNAcentral. Lineage: Eukaryota; Metazoa; Chordata; Aves; Anseriformes; Anatidae.
GGGGCUGAAAAGGUAUUUUCAUGUGCAGCCCUGAUGCUGGGAAGAAAAGCGAAACAAAGCAAAAAGUCAGCCACGCAGGGCUCAGCCUGUUUGCAGGCUCUGGAGCAAUGGGUAGGCGGGUGGGUGCUGGCCAAGGAGCUCCCCCACCAUCAGGCUGGGGAAAGCCUCCCGAGGCACUAGGUAGCGUCUGCAUCAAGGCCACCAGACUUUAGCCAGCAGGAAAACUGGCUGCUCCUUCUUUGUUGUGAACAGGAAGUUUGGGGAAGUGUCUUCCCUUUCUUUUGUUUAAAACACCUGAACUUAGAAAGGUGCCUGGGAGCAGUGGAAAGCUGGGAGUCCCUCCUCCAGUCUCUUUCCAGACUGUUCUUUCAUCAGAAACAGGAGAUACUGAAGAUGCUUAGCAGAAAGAUUAGAGGUGUCAAUGGUGAAAAGUGGAAAAGGGAUUACCCAGUGCAAUCUGGCAUCUCACCCCGUGAGGUCUUAGCACUUGUCAGCAGACCCAUGAGUAUCCACGGGGAUAACCCCACCUUAGCAGGCCACAGGAACAGCUUUCAGGGGCACGAGGUUGUCCUCACCCCCCUCACCUCUGCCAGCCCCGAGGUCUGUGCUGCUGCAGAGACGGCUAAUUCAGGGCCAGCAGUGGGCACAAGGCUUGGGACCAGCCCUGCUGGGAUCACCCGACCCGGCAGAGCAUGGGGCAGGGUGCGUGCCCCCGUCCUCUGCCAGAAACCAGCUGGAUGCAGGCAGAGGAAAUGGAUACCCCCAGCACCGCCACAACUCCAUCCUCUGGAUUCCUGAACAGGUCCCAGCUCACCAAGGAAGCUGGCAUAAUGGAAACAAAAGUGGAUUGAUGCACUGGCUGGCAUACCCGCGUCCUGGGAAAGAGCUCAGGCAGCCGUUUCCAGAAAAGCUGGAGCCUGCUGGAGGAAAGCACAAAACAGAAAACACUGCUCAAAGGAAGCUCGCAGACAGAGUGGCAAUGUGGAAGAAAUUAUAAUGAUUAAUACGGUGCCUGAAGUGUGCAGGGGACUGCAGAAGAUUGAAAAAAAGGUCCCGGAUUUGAUUUUCCACUGCUCUUCAUCAGCAGCAGUCAUUUUGUACCAGUGUAAAGUGGGAGAGUAAUCUUACCAGCACAGAACAAGUGCAUUUUACGUUGCUUUUCUCUCAAUUUUCCUGCUGCAUGGAUCCCAGGAAAAGGAGCAAUCGAGACUGCUUGUCCCUGACCACUGGGGAUCAGGGUCUGUGCUAGGAUAUAGACCAUAAACAACAGACAUAGGCAUCAGGGGAGAGGGAAGGCACUGAGAGCAGCUGCCACGUCUGUCUUUGGGUAGGACGGGAGAAGGCUUGGAAUAAGAACAAACUGGGGGCAACAUCCAUUGACCAGCUGCAGGAAAAGCACAGUUGUAGAAGAUAGAAACUCAUUUCUUCUCUUAAUUUGAUUGGAGUCAAGAGUUUUACUGUGAUCAGUCAAUCUUUUCUAAAUGUCAAAAGCAAACCCAAUUAGACCCUUAGAUAAUAAGGUUUUAAGGCUGCCGUUUAGAUUCUGCCACCUUCCUAUAUCCCUCACAGCAGGUCACCAGCAAUAAAUAAAUACAAAUAGACA